This 447-nucleotide ribosomal RNA is filed under the name uncultured bacterium. RNAcentral describes it as "bacterial SSU rRNA". It matches the Rfam family "Bacterial small subunit ribosomal RNA", at positions 329 to 793 of the family's 1533-position model. The record is from RNAcentral.
CUCCAGACUCCUACGGGAGGCAGCAGUGGGGAAUAUUGCGCAAUGGGGGAAACCCUGAUGCAGCGACGCCGCGUGAGCGAUGAAGUAUUUCGGUAUGUAAAGCUCUAUCAGCAGGGAAGAAGAUGACGGUACCUGACUAAGAAGCCCCGGCUAACUACGUGCCAGCAGCCGCGGUAAUACGUAGGGGGCAAGCGUUAUCCGGAUUUACUGGGUGUAAAGGGAGCGUAGACGGCGAUGCAAGCCAGAUGUGAAAGCCCGGGGCUCAACCCCGGGACUGCAUUUGGAACUGUGUGGCUGGAGUGUCGGAGAGGCAGGCGGAAUUCCUAGUGUAGCGGUGAAAUGCGUAGAUAUUAGGAGGAACACCAGUGGCGAAGGCGGCCUGCUGGACGAUGACUGACGUUGAGGCUCGAAAGCGUGGGGAGCAAACAGGAUUAGAUACCCGCGUAU